This is a long non-coding RNA of Lathyrus oleraceus (garden pea), 296 nucleotides long. RefSeq lists it as uncharacterized. NCBI's taxonomy places the organism in Eukaryota, Viridiplantae, Streptophyta, Magnoliopsida, Fabales, Fabaceae. The transcript has 3 exons. The record is from RefSeq and is a predicted model, not a curated record.
GAUUGGUAAUGAAGACUUCAUGCAAGUUUUUAGUCAUGAAGAAAUCGGCGUCACCGUUGUCAAUACAUAUAUUAGGUUUUUGUAUGACAAAUUGAUGCGCCCCAAUGGUUUGGACGUGUCAUUCGGAUUCUUAGCACCCACGACCGUCAACUUAGGUUUAAUCUUAAGUAGACCGGAUACCGUGACGGAGUACGUUCUUCGGAUCCUCAUGGACAAUAAAGAUGCGGAGAAGUUGUUUUUUAUACCGUUUAAUACCGGUGGACAUUGGUUGUUGCUCGCAAUCAAUCCUAUCCGAG